GAUGAACGCUAGCUACAGGCUUAACACAUGCAAGUCGCAGGGCAGCAUGGGGGUUGCUUGCAAUCCCCGAUGGCGACCGGCGCACGGGUGAGUAACGCGUAUCCAACCUGCCCUUCACCACGGGAUAACCCGGCGAAAGUCGGACUAAUACCGUAUGUUGUCCAUUGACGGCAUCCGAUUUGGACGAAAGGCUUGGCGGUGAGGGAUGGGGAUGCGUCCGAUUAGCCAGACGGCGGGGUAACGGCCCACCGUGGCUACGAUCGGUAGGGGUUCUGAGAGGAAGGUCCCCCACACUGGAACUGAGACACGGUCCAGACUCCUACGGGAGGCAGCAGUGAGGAAUAUUGGUCAAUGGGCGUAAGCCUGAACCAGCCAAGUAGCGUGCAGGAUGACGGCCCUAUGGGUUGUAAACUGCUUUUAUGCGGGGAUAAAGUGGCCCACGUGUGGGCUUUUGCAGGUACCGCAUGAAUAAGGACCGGCUAAUUCCGUG
Molecule: ribosomal RNA, 490 nt
Filed under: uncultured bacterium
Lineage: Bacteria
Description: partial 16S ribosomal RNA
Rfam family: Bacterial small subunit ribosomal RNA
Source: RNAcentral